This is a long non-coding RNA of Artibeus jamaicensis (Jamaican fruit-eating bat), 442 nucleotides long. RefSeq lists it as uncharacterized. The transcript has 3 exons. Lineage: Eukaryota; Metazoa; Chordata; Mammalia; Chiroptera; Phyllostomidae. The record is from RefSeq and is a predicted model, not a curated record.
GUGGUGGCCCUCAAUCCUUGACCACUGGAGAGAAAGAGAGAGAGAGAGAGAGAAGAGAAAAGAAGGGAAGAAAACAUUGAUCAGAUGCCUCUUUGUAUACGCCCUGACCAGGAAUCGAACCCAAAACCCAGGGGCAGAGGCUGAGGAGCAUAUGCAUCUUUAUCAUCACUGGCAGGAAACACAUCCAUCCUCCCUACGCUUGGUGGAGACGGCAUCCGGGUUCCCCAUCCCCUCCUGUUUCUCUGGAGGUGGCCUCCGGUACUGGAAGAGACACAGACGCGGAGACGCUGUCAAACCUACCCUGGAAAACUGGCUCAAUCUCGUGGCUCCACUUUGAGUUUCUCAAGAUGUCAUUUUCCCCGAUCUUGGUCCGUCUCAGCGUGUGGAAAGCCGGAGACAGUGGCCCAGGUCCUGGAGGAUUUGUCCCUGUUUCAAGCCCAGA